This 429-nucleotide ribosomal RNA is filed under the name uncultured bacterium. RNAcentral's name for it is "bacterial SSU rRNA". It matches the Rfam family "Bacterial small subunit ribosomal RNA", at positions 355 to 776 of the family's 1533-position model. The record is from RNAcentral.
UGGGGAAUUUUGGACAAUGGGCGAAAGCCUGAUCCAGCCAUGCCGCGUGAGUGAAGAAGGCCUUCGGGUUGUAAAGCUCUUUCGGUCGGGACGAAAUCGCACGAGUGAAUAUCGCGUGUGGAUGACGGUACCGGCAGAAGAAGGACCGGCUAACUACGUGCCAGCAGCCGCGGUAAUACGUAGGGUCCGAGCGUUAAUCGGAAUUACUGGGCGUAAAGCGUGCGCAGGUGGUUUUGUAAGCCAGAUGUGAAAGCCCCGGGCUUAACCUGGGAACUGCAUUUGGGACUGCAAGGCUAGAGUACGGCAGAGGGGGGUAGAAUUCCUGGUGUAGCAGUGAAAUGCGUAGAUAUCAGGAGGAAUACCGAUGGCGAAGGCAGCCCCCUGGGUCGAUACUGACGCUCAUGCACGAAAGCGUGGGGAGCAAACAGG